This 824-nucleotide long non-coding RNA is filed under the name Salmo salar (Atlantic salmon). RNAcentral's name for it is "lncRNA (ENSSSAG00000100421.1, ENSSSAG00075065631.1)". Lineage: Eukaryota; Metazoa; Chordata; Actinopteri; Salmoniformes; Salmonidae. The record is from RNAcentral.
ACACUCUUUGACCAUGCAAUUAUAUAUUUAUUAACAACUCGUAGUUGUUGUUAGUUGUAGAAAAAAAGAGGGAGGAGAUGUAAAACUGCAGUGAAAAUAAGGGUGGCCUUGUAGUUUUGUGGGAGGAAAGAUUAGUAACAGCGCCGACAUCAGAGUGCAGAACGUAAUCAGUGACUCAUAAAAUAAGGAGUUUUCUCACCCUCUCAGAAGCAGGCACACAGCACAGGGAAACUGAGUCGUACAGCUCAGAGUCACAGGCGUAGUAUGGGAGUGGCAUCAGGUUCAGUAGAGGAAGCAGGCACACAGCACAGGGAAACUGAGUCGUACAGCUCAGAGGCACAGGCGUAGUAUGGGAGCGGCAUCAGGUUCAGUAGAGGAAGCAGGCACACAGCACAGGGAAACUGAGUCGUACAGCUCAGAGGCACAGGCGUAGUAUGGGAGCGGCAUCAGGUUCAGUAGAGGAAGCAGGCACACAGCACAGGGAAACUGAGUCGUACAGCUCAGAGGCACAGGCGUAGUAUGGGAGCGGCAUCAGGUUCAGUAGAGGAAGCAGGCACACAGCACAGGGAAACUGAGUCGUACAGCUCAGAGUCACAGGCAUAGUAUGGGAGCGGCAUCAGGUUCAGUAGAGGAAGCUGGCACAGAUUGAUUCAUGAACUGUCAAUACUGCUGGAAAUCAGAUCCCAGUGGUUGGAGAUUAGCCUCCAGCAGUGGCUGUGAUGUCGCGCAUGAUGCCAUAGGUGUGUUAAGUCACACUGUAGACAAGAAAACAACACGUGUGAUUAUUUACUUGGUAAAGUGACAUAUUUCAGUGUUUCUGUUUC